This 355-nucleotide ribosomal RNA is filed under the name Lottia scabra. RNAcentral describes it as "partial 12S ribosomal RNA". RNAcentral also lists the same sequence under 1 other name. The record is from RNAcentral. Lineage: Eukaryota; Metazoa; Mollusca; Gastropoda; Lottiidae.
GUAUUAAUCCCCCUAGGGGAACCUGGCCCUUAAUUCGAUGAUCCGCGAACCUCUUACCUUUUCUAGUUUUCUACCCCUCCAAAAGGAGUGUAGGAAGACCAGCUCGCAUACCGCCGUUUCGCAGCUUAUAUCGUGAGAGGACAAAAAUAGGCGCAGCAGCGGCCCCACAGAAAUGCACGAUUUUAUGUGCGGGGGGCUUCUCUUUCAAUUCAGGUAAACGUGUGGCCCACGAAAAGGGGGGAGCUGGGUUACAGUUGGAGCUCGUAAUAGAGUGGCUGCCUUAAGGGCAAGACGAAAGAGGACUUGGAAGUAAUGGUUUUGGACAAUGAAGCCGUGAAUGUGCUCUAGUAUGUGU